RNAcentral lists this ribosomal RNA (301 nucleotides) under uncultured bacterium. RNAcentral's name for it is "partial 16S ribosomal RNA". It matches the Rfam family "Bacterial small subunit ribosomal RNA", at positions 509 to 809 of the family's 1533-position model. The record is from RNAcentral.
CAGCAGCCGCGGGAAUACGGAGGGUGCAAGCGUUAAUCGGAAUUACUGGGCGUAAAGCGUGCGUAGGCGGUUCGUUAAGUCUGUUGUGAAAGCCCCGGGCUCAACCUGGGAAUGGCAAUGGAUACUGGCGAGCUAGAGUGUGUCAGAGGAUGGUGGAAUUCCCGGUGUAGCGGUGAAGUGCGUAGAGAUCGGGAGGAACAUCAGUGGCGAAGGCGGCCCCCUGGACAAAGACUGACGCUCAGGUGCGAAAGCGUGGGGAGCAAACAGGAUUAGAUACCCGCGUAGUCCCUGUCUCUUAUAA